GAGUGUCAUACUUUUGAAUGAUAAAAUUAACAGUAUCGAUACUCUGAUUCGAUAGUAUUCAAAUAAGUAAGUAAUCGGUACUUUCGGGUAUCGAUUCAUCUCUACAUAUGAGCAAGUGCUUGUUUAUAAAGGGAUGAAAAAAUUUUGCACAAAACUACUCAAUCUGGCAAUUUUAUAUUUGGCAACAUGCGUACGCAGUCCGGCAGGCAACAGGCAAACAUUCCAUUUUUUGUGUUUUUGCACAAAACCACUCAAUCUGGCAAUUUGAUAUUUGGCAACAUGCGUACGCAGGCCGGCAGGCAACAAGUAAACACUCCGUUUUUUUGUGUUUAUCACCUCUGGAUGAGGACACAUUUACUUUUACUUGACAUUCCAAAAAGAAAAUCUUUGAUCC
Molecule: long non-coding RNA, 394 nt
Filed under: Androctonus crassicauda
Lineage: Eukaryota; Metazoa; Arthropoda; Arachnida; Scorpiones; Buthidae
Source: RNAcentral